Molecule: small RNA, 31 nt
Filed under: Bombyx mori (domestic silkworm)
Lineage: Eukaryota; Metazoa; Arthropoda; Insecta; Lepidoptera; Bombycidae
Description: ovarian small RNA-626
Source: RNAcentral
UGUAUGUGCAGUAGGACCUGUUAGGUCGCCC